RNAcentral lists this ribosomal RNA (448 nucleotides) under uncultured bacterium. RNAcentral's name for it is "partial 16S ribosomal RNA". It matches the Rfam family "Bacterial small subunit ribosomal RNA", at positions 330 to 795 of the family's 1533-position model. The record is from RNAcentral.
UCCAGACUCCUACGGGAGGCAGCAGUGGGGGAUAUUGCACAAUGGGGGAAACCCUGAUGCAGCGACGCCGCGUGUGGGAAGACGGUCCUCUGGAUUGUAAACCACUGUCCCCAGGGACGAAGAUGACGGUACCUGGGGAGGAAGCUCCGGCUAACUACGUGCCAGCAGCCGCGGUAAUACGUAGGGAGCAAGCGUUGUCCGGAAUUACUGGGUGUAAAGGGAGCGUAGGCGGGAUGGCAAGUUGGGUGUUAAAUCUACCGGCUCAACUGGGAGUCGCACUCAAAACUGCUAUUCUUGAGUGAAGUAGAGGCAGGUGGAAUUCCAUGUGUAGCGGUGAAAUGCGUAGAGAUAUGGAGGAGCACCAGUGGCGGAGGCGGCUUCCUGGUCGGCAACUGACACUGAGGCGCGAAAGCGUGGGGAGCAAACAGGAUUAGAUACCCUGGUAAUA